CCCAGACUCCUACGGGAGGCAGCAGUGGGGGAUAUUGCACAAUGGGGGGAACCCUGAUGCAGCGACGCCGCGUGGGUGAAGAAGUAUUUCGGUAUGUAAAGCCCUAUCGGCAGGGAAGAAAUUGGACGGUACCUGACUAAGAAGCCCUGGCUAACUACGUGCCAGCAGCCGCGGUAAUACGUAGGGGGCAAGCGUUAUCCGGAUUCACUGGGUGUAAAGGGAGCGUAGACGGCCAUGCAAGCCUGGAGUGAAAGCCCGGGGCCCAACCCCGGGACUGCUCUGGGAACUGUGCGGCUGGAGUGCGGGAGGGGCAGGCGGAAUUCCUGGUGUAGCGGUGAAAUGCGUAGAUAUCAGGAGGAACACCGGCGGCGAAGGCGGCCUGCUGGACCGUGACUGACGUUGAGGCUCGAGAGCGUGGGGAGCAAACAGGAUUAGAUACCCGCGUA
RNAcentral lists this ribosomal RNA (446 nucleotides) under uncultured bacterium. RNAcentral describes it as "bacterial SSU rRNA". It matches the Rfam family "Bacterial small subunit ribosomal RNA", at positions 330 to 792 of the family's 1533-position model. The record is from RNAcentral.